UGGGUUGUGGCUCAGUGGUAGAGCGCUAGCCUAGCUUGUAUGAGGCACUGGGUUUGAUUCUCAGCACCCCAU
This 72-nucleotide transfer RNA is filed under the name Marmota monax (woodchuck). It matches the Rfam family "tRNA". From Rfam's summary of the family: Transfer RNA (tRNA) molecules are approximately 80 nucleotides in length. Their secondary structure includes four short double-helical elements and three loops (D, anti-codon, and T loops). The record is from Rfam by way of RNAcentral. Lineage: Eukaryota; Metazoa; Chordata; Mammalia; Rodentia; Sciuridae.